Spinacia oleracea (spinach) is the source of this 1035-nucleotide long non-coding RNA. RefSeq lists it as uncharacterized. The record is from RefSeq and is a predicted model, not a curated record. Lineage: Eukaryota; Viridiplantae; Streptophyta; Magnoliopsida; Caryophyllales; Amaranthaceae. The transcript has 2 exons.
UAGAGGUGUCAAAUUUGUCGAUCGUUAAUUAGACAAGUUAUCCUCCCACCACUUGGAAGAAGAAAAUAAUAGUAAAAUAAUAAAAAGAGAAAGAGGGCACAUUUAUUCGAAAUGUCAUGCUACCCACUAGCCCUUUAAUUAGGCCCCUUACUCUCUCUAUAUAAAGAGCUCUACCGGCAUGCCUUGUCUUCACCACAACAUAGCAAUUCACUGUUUCCAAUCUACUCAACACUCAUUCUUCUUCUUCGAUCUUCUUCAUCAUCUCUACUUAAUUUAAUUAGGUUAUUCCUUCUAAUUAGGGCAUAUAUAUAUAUAUAUUCUUUCUAAUUAGGGUUCUACACUUCUACCCUUAAUCAGCAAAAUAAUCGAAACGCCAACAACAAAACCAUAGCCAAAAUGAUUUAAAGAUCGACUGGUAAAAGGGAGGUGACAGAAGAGAGUGAGCACACAUGGUUGUUUUCUUGCAUUAAUUUCAUGCUUGAAGCUAUGCGUGCUUACUCUCUAUCUGUCUCCCCCCCACUCUUUCACUCCCAUUUUCUUAUUAAUUUCUUUUAUUUUUAUCAACUAUAAUGAGCAUUUUAGGUCUGGAUAAUAUAUAUGGAGUAUUUUUAUUUAUUUAUUUAUUUAUUUUUGUUUCAAUUAUUUUCUAAUAAUUUAGCUGUAGAAGAGGCACAUCAGCUGUAAUCCUGCUGCAAACCCAGUAUUGUAUUGUGGUUGAUCUGAUAUUCUGAUGAUUAGAGAUCAACAGAAGACGGAUCAAAGUGAAGCAAAUCGAGCAGCAGAAGAUCCGUAUUAUCAUAGUGAUAUAUGGACCAUUAACAACAACAACUAGCUAGUAUGCCGUGAGGUUUUGUUUCCCAGAAAGUGGCUAGUCUUUUAAGUGGGACUAGAUGAAUGCUCUAGCUUCUAAUUAAUGUUAUUUCCCUAAAUUAAUCAUCUUUUGUUUAUUUUUUACUUUUGUAUUGGAUAAACUGAUGUGAAAACAAAUUCCAAAUUCAAAUUCAAAUUCAAAUUCUGAUUUUUUUUUUUUAUAAA